GAUGAACGCUGGCGGCGUGCCUAACACAUGCAAGUCGAGCGAUCUUCUUCGGAAGAGAGCGGCGGACGGGUGAGUAACGCGUGGGUAACCUGCCCUGUACACACGGAUAACAUACCGAAAGGUAUGCUAAUACGAGAUAAUAUGCUUUUGUCGCAUGGUAGAAGUAUCAAAGCUCCGGCGGUACAGGAUGGACCCGCGUCUGAUUAGCUAGUUGGUAAGGUAACGGCUUACCAAGGCGACGAUCAGUAGCCGACCUGAGAGGGUGAUCGGCCACAUUGGAACUGAGACACGGUCCAAACUCCUACGGGAGGCAGCAGUGGGGAAUAUUGCACAAUGGGCGAAAGCCUGAUGCAGCAACGCCGCGUGAGCGAUGAAGGCCUUCGGGUCGUAAAGCUCUGUCCUCAAGGAAGAUAAUGACGGUACUUGAGGAGGAAGCCCCGGCUAACUACGUGCCAGCAGCCGCGGUAAU
Molecule: ribosomal RNA, 469 nt
Filed under: uncultured bacterium
Lineage: Bacteria
Description: bacterial SSU rRNA
Rfam family: Bacterial small subunit ribosomal RNA
Source: RNAcentral